ACCCGAGGAGUGAAGGAAACUUUCGCGAAAAUAACGCUCGAAAGUCCAAAAAAUAGUGCACGGAAGUAACGCUCCGAAGUCCAAUUGGAUAUGGAUUAUGGAGCAAACUCAGCAAAGGCGAAGGUUACGAGUAGAUCGAGUUACGACUUACCAAAGUAAUAGUUUUAAAAUUAAGAACAGUGGGAGCGCGAUGAUGAUUCUUGAUUGAUUUUGUUUGAUCUCCGUCUCUCUCUCAUCUUCUGUUUUCUCUUCUUGGUUCUUAUUUUAUACCAAUUGGGUUUUUGAAGGAUGGAACCGAUGGAUAUCGUUGGGAAAUCGAAAGAGGAUGUUUCUCUUCCGAAAGCAACUAUGUUUAAGAUCAUUAAGGAGAUGCUACCACCAGAUGUUCGUGUUGCAAGAGAUGCUCAAGAUCUUCUUGUUGAGUGUUGCGUUGGUGAGUUAAAAUAGCUGCAACUGUGGUUAUGUUGAUAGGGAUGAAUACCAUUUCCUGUACUUCCCCUUGAUCAGUGUAUCUAGCUGCCACUUUGUUUCCCUUUUUGAGCAAAAAGGUUUUGAAUUGUUCUAUGGAAUGGAGCUAGUUUUCAAUUUCCUUGCCAUUUUAAUUUCAUGAAAGUUUUGAAUUUGCAUAUACUUUCAAUUUUCAUUUUCGCUUUGUAAAUGAUGGUAAAUAUCUCUAUACAUA
Molecule: long non-coding RNA, 682 nt
Organism: Macadamia integrifolia
Lineage: Eukaryota; Viridiplantae; Streptophyta; Magnoliopsida; Proteales; Proteaceae
Exons: 3
Source: RefSeq, a predicted model, not a curated record